CCUACGGGGCGCAGCAGUGAGGAAUAUUGGUCAAUGGCCGGAAGGCUGAACCAGCCAAGUCGCGUGAGGGACGACUGCCCUAUGGGUUGUAAACCUCUUUUAUAAGGGAAGAAUAAAUGCUACGUGUAGCAUGAUGCCUGUACCUUAUGAAUAAGCAUCGGCUAACUCCGUGCCAGCAGCCGCGGUAAUACGGAGGAUGCGAGCGUUAUCCGGAUUUAUUGGGUUUAAAGGGUGCGUAGGCGGCAUUAUAAGUUAGUGGUAAAAUAUUGGGGCUUCACCUCACUACGCCAUUAAUACUGUAGAGC
This 305-nucleotide ribosomal RNA is filed under the name uncultured bacterium. RNAcentral's name for it is "bacterial SSU rRNA". It matches the Rfam family "Bacterial small subunit ribosomal RNA", at positions 338 to 641 of the family's 1533-position model. The record is from RNAcentral.